CUGAUCCUGUGAAUUUAGCAUUAAGUCAUGAUACCAUUUUAAGUCAAUUGAAUGUUCAGUUCUUAUUUAAAAACUUUUGAUCUUAAGGUAGAUAGUGAACACACAUUACCUUACGCAAUAAAUACGACCCACGUUAUAGGUAACAAGCAUUUAAUGGGGCUCUUGAUCAUCUUCGAAAUGAUUUCCCACACACAAUGUUGAACAGUCUGUUACCUAUGUCUCCUGCCUUAAAAUCAAACAUUUUCGGGCAUGAAAGCAAAACAUCCCUUGCUACUCACAUGCAGUUCUGUUAAUAUACUUUUUGAGUUUACACCAUUCUAUUUUUGUUUUUGCUGAAGACCACAUAUGAUCUCCAUCACAAUCUUCUUAAUGUUUGUCAUAUGCCUUCUAAAUUUCACAAAGAUCUUAACUUUCUCAUAUACUAGUUUAAUGUCAAAUUAUUGAUGCUGUAGUUCCAGGAUGCUGAUCUCUAAUGCUGAUGUUGAGGUCACUUUGUUAAGGUUUGAAUCUUGACACUUCCUAUCUGUUGCCCCUUUCUUUGCUCCUGUUUAUUUUGGUCAUGCAGCUCAAAAGUGACACGACAUAAUUUUACUUGAAUUUUCUUCCUUUUUGAUGUUGGAUUUUUUAAGUGAGUUAUUUGAGUUUCUGAAGUUGUUCUUUAUCGAUCCAAUGCCAUAUGGCAACGAACAACUUUUUUCUAAUAUAUUAGAUAUUAGUUCUCAGAUAUCAGAAUUGUUCAGAUGGUUAUUGAGCAUAUUAGCUUCAAAACUAAGUACGUAAUAGCCCUGGGAAUCUAAAAUUUUCACAAAUUGUCCCAUGAAUAAACUUCUUUUAUUUCAUACCAAACGUGGAUCCUAUACAAUAGUUUCUCAAAGAAACCUAAAGUUAUGCUGGAGUGUUCAGCUUGCAGUUGGCAAAAUCUUUGUGUGGAAAUUAGCAAAGAGUUUCCCAGCACUUGUAAUGUGGCAUGAAGCUGGGUCGAUACCUCAUUUGGCAGGAAAAAAAUUGUGAAAUAGAUUCUGUACAUGGGGUCGGAUUGGUUGUUGGAGAUACAUAUUGAUUUAACUGGACUUGUAAUUUUCAGUUUUUUACAAUCGUAUGAUUUACUAAUGAUGCAAGUUUAUCAGGCCUACUCCUUUUCCAAUGGUCAAUAGAGUUCACUACAUUUCUUCUAAGCUGAAGGUUAGUGGUGAAAAUACAUUGAUGAUUUACAUUGUACCAAUGAUUUUUUUCCUAACUGUGAUUAUGGGAAUGACAGUUGCUGAGUGGUGUCCGAAAUUACUCAUCUUUAGGUAUGAUUUUUCUGAGUUCUAUAUUGCAACUCCUUAAGCGGGUUUGUCUAUUUGAGAAAUUUUCAGAUUCUUUAGAUUUAAAAGGAAGAAAAUCCUGAGAAAAGUGAACGAGGACUCAAAGGAACCAUAAAAAAUAAUAUAAAAGAAAAGAGUGAAAUUAUUUGCAGCAGUUCUCCAGUCAUCAGCGUUUUCUUACUGAAGUUGCAACUUCACCUAGGGUGGCUUUCAUUGCACUUCAGAGGGCAUACCUCUUCAAUUGUUCUCUUGUCUAAGUUCCAAUUCUAUUAAAUGCCCGAAAAAACCCUUGAGACAUUCUCUAUUAAGAAAAAACAACACAAAAAGCUGAGGCCAAUUAACAAAAAACCCAAAAUGCCAAUACAAAGGAAUGCACAUGUGGUUACCCUAGGCUUAUGCAAUGAGGUGUGCUCCUUAGGAAGUAGAGAUGAAAGCUCGAAGUGUAAGCUUUAAGACUCUUAAUAAAAGCCUCAUGUGGUGAGACCUGCCUAUUGUAUUCCUCGGCUCUUCUCUAUUUCUACUCAAAUAUUAAACUUGAUAUCCACUGAAAUGUGAUACACAUGAGUGCUUCCCUGUGUAUGCAUCUUCUGAUGUGUGGGUGUUUAUUCCACUAUUUCUCUUUCUGUAAGUCUGUCUGAUCGUGGCAGUAUGCACUUGGACUAAUUGUUCUGUACAGAUUUGAAUUUGACUGUCAAUUUUUGGAGGUCAAUUUCCUUGCAGACUCAAGGUAACAUUUCAAAGUGGAAGAAGAAAGGGAGAUAAGGUCCGUCACAUUAAGUAGUUAUUUUCUGAACAAGGAUAGGAUGGCUUUUUAUUUAUAUAUAUGAUGCCAAUUAAAAAUAACUGCGAAGAGUAUUUGUUGACUUGGAACAAAGACAUCCGAGUUUUGAUGAUUUCUGACUGUGAUUUUAUUUGUCUUGACUUUUAAUGGAUCUAAUAGAUAGAAGUGGGGGAUGUGAUAUGUGAAAUAGAGACGGACAAAGCUACCCUUG
This 2299-nucleotide long non-coding RNA is filed under the name Olea europaea subsp. europaea. Lineage: Eukaryota; Viridiplantae; Streptophyta; Magnoliopsida; Lamiales; Oleaceae. The record is from RNAcentral.